GAUGAAGAACGUAGCAAAUUGCGAUAAGUAUUGUGAAUUGCAUUAUUAGUGAAUCAUCGAAUCUUUGAACGCAUCUUGCGCUCUGGGGCUAUUCCCCAGAGCAUGACUGUUUGAGGGUUGUGUAUAUCAUCAUCCCCCUCCGAGUGGAAACAUGAGGAGAGUUUGGGUAUGGACAGUGGCUUAUUUGUAGGAAUCUGAUUUCUACUAAGCUGAAAAACAUUAGUGGCUGAUUUCCAAUUUCUUGUAGCACAUAGCAAUGGCGUUAUAGUUUAUAUUCGUUGAUGCUAGUACUGUCAUAAGAAUUUGGUUCUAAAAGCACACUUCGAAACCUACACUUUUUCAACUCUUCAACCUCAAAUCAGUUAGGACUACCCGCUGAACUUAAGCAUAUCAAUAAGCGGAGGA
Molecule: unclassified non-coding RNA, 405 nt
Filed under: soil metagenome
Description: partial contains internal transcribed spacer 2 and large subunit ribosomal RNA
Rfam family: 5.8S ribosomal RNA (bases 1-120)
Source: RNAcentral